GACGAACGCUGGCGGCGUGCUUAACACAUGCAAGUCGAACGGAAAGGCCCUGCUUUUGUGGGGUGCUCGAGUGGCGAACGGGUGAGUAACACGUGAGUAACCUGCCCUUGACUUUGGGAUAACUUCAGGAAACUGGGGCUAAUACCGGAUAGGAGCUCCUGCUGCAUGGCGGGGGUUGGAAAGUUUCGGCGGUUGGGGAUGGACUCGCGGCUUAUCAGCUUGUUGGUGGGGUAGGGGCUUACCAAGGCUUUGACGGGUAGCCGGCCUGAGAGGGUGACCGGCCACAUUGGGACUGAGAUACGGCCCAGACUCCUACGGGAGGCAGCAGUGGGGAAUAUUGCACAAUGGGCGGAAGCCUGAUGCAGCAACGCCGCGUGCGGGAUGACGGCCUUCGGGUUGUAAACCGCUUUCGCCUGUGACGAAGCGUGAGUGACGGUAAUGGGUAAAGAAGCACCGGCUAACUACGUG
RNAcentral lists this ribosomal RNA (468 nucleotides) under uncultured bacterium. RNAcentral describes it as "partial 16S ribosomal RNA". It matches the Rfam family "Bacterial small subunit ribosomal RNA", at positions 28 to 507 of the family's 1533-position model. The record is from RNAcentral.